AUGGCAGGUUUGCUGCAAAUCAAAGGAAAAGUUUCAGACGUGUUGGGAAUUGUUCUUAUUUUGUCAAACUAUGCUGUCAAUAGUCCAAAAAGAGGGAUACUGGCACAGGAAGAAAAAAGAAGGAACCCGUUUGAGAAGAAAGAGGUUGUCCACAAAGAAAGAGGUAGUCCAAAAAGAGAAACUUUGAUGGAAUCAGCAUCAGAAGAUCAGUAUCAACAUCAGCAUCAGAAGAUAUGUCAGCAUCAGAAGAUCAGUAUCAACAUCAGCAUCAGAAGAUAUGUCAGCAUCAGAAGAUCAAUAACAUGUGUUACACGCUGA
Non-coding RNA from Vicia faba (fava bean), 318 nucleotides. NCBI's taxonomy places the organism in Eukaryota, Viridiplantae, Streptophyta, Magnoliopsida, Fabales, Fabaceae. The record is from the annotation of a GenBank genome assembly.